Non-coding RNA from Macaca mulatta (Rhesus monkey), 1469 nucleotides. NCBI's taxonomy places the organism in Eukaryota, Metazoa, Chordata, Mammalia, Primates, Cercopithecidae. The record is from RefSeq and is a predicted model, not a curated record.
CGUGGGUGGGGAGGUGUUGGUAGAGAAGUAAGGGUUAAGGCAAAAACAAUCCUGUAUUAAGAGUACCAUAUGAAACCUGGAAAACACGAUUCCUUGAACAGAUUAAUUCCAGAAAAUAGCUGCCAGCAGGAGAAAGAAGAGGUAAGCGCCUUGCCUUUCCCAAGAGCAAAAGGUGAUACUAGAAAAUACCAAGGAUAGAAGACCAGCGACUACCUAGCGACAGAAGGAGGAAACACACCAGACCAGAACUAAAGCAGAUAGCGGUUAGAAACGCCCAGUAAGGGUGCCAGAAACCACUUUCAGGUUUGUGGAGAAGGAAGUCAAGAGAGAAAAAGGGAAAGGAAAUCGUUGUUUAGGGUAUAACCUACAAUGAUUUUUUUUUUUUUUUUUGGAAGAAAGAGGGAAGACAGCACUUGAAGGGAAAGAGGGUAAAGAAGAGGAAGGGAGGUUACAAUUGAGAGCACCGCAGAAGGAAGCGAUGCAGAUGUUCGGCUCUGGCGGACCGAAGGAGGAACCCCAUGCAUAGCACAGCUAUCAUGGAUGCUGAUGGGGCCCCAGAGCCCCCUUCGCCAGGCUGCCGUCAUCAGCCUAGAGCUGUCCCCAUCCCCAGAGAUUUGGCCUGAGUCAAAUAUGAGCACGCUCUGGGAGAAUGUGUCUUCUCUACAAGGCGGUGAACUCCUUGAAGAUGGACCAAGUUGGAUCCAUCUUUGUCCUCAGGAUCCAGCACAGGCUUGAACCUGGCCAGACCAUACCAUACAUGUUGUCUUCAACUCCAAGCUGCAUAGAUUAAGGGCACAUUGGCCAAUUGGAGCCUAUGGAGAUGAGGGCAGUGGUGUGGAGUCUGGAAGCCAUGAAGAACAUAAGAAGAAUAAGGAAUGUUUAACUUGAAGAAGAGACCACUUCUGAGACAAUCCAUUCUCUGAUUCCACAGACUGUUUCUGGGCACCUCCUCUGUGGAAGGCCCGGGACUGGGGGCUGAAAAGGCCACGGAUGACACAGCUAUAGUCCCUGCCUGGGGAGCCCACAGUCUGAAUGGGAUCAGGCAGAGAAACAAGGAACUAUAAUAGAGUGUGGUCAGUACCACUAGAAAGGGAUGUAGCGUGUGGCCAGGGAAGUCCUCUUAGUGCAGGGGGGACAGAAUUAUGACAGUGUUGGUGGCAUUUUAGCUUUGAGGAGUAACUUUCUAACAAUCAGAACUAUCCAAGAAUGGAAGGCUGUCUCAGGAGGUAGUAAGUGCUCUGUGUCUGGAGAGAUGUGUGAGCAGGGCUGGGACAACCACUUAACAGACUGGAUAUAUAUUUUUUCUUUUUUAUCACUUUAUUUACAAAUUGUCUAUGUCUUUUAAUGUUAAAGUAUGUUUUUUGAUAAUAACAUAGAAUUGCUUGCAUUUAUAAAAGGUCAAAUGCUGCCUUUUAAUGAGAGUAUUUAAUCCAUUUACAUUAAAUUAGUAUGUUUGGAUUAAUCUAUCA